RNAcentral lists this ribosomal RNA (253 nucleotides) under uncultured bacterium. Its description in RNAcentral is "partial 16S ribosomal RNA". It matches the Rfam family "Bacterial small subunit ribosomal RNA", at positions 524 to 776 of the family's 1533-position model. The record is from RNAcentral.
GACAGAGGGUGCAAACGUUGUUCGGAAUUACUGGGCGUAAAGCGAGUGUAGGCGGUCUCGUAAGUCGGGUGUGAAAGCCCCGGGCUCAACCCGGGAAGUGCACUCGAAACUGCGAGGCUAGAGUAUCGGAGAGGUUGGUGGAAUUCUCGGUGUAGAGGUGAAAUUCGUAGAUAUCGAGAGGAACACCGGUGGCGAAGGCGGCCAACUGGACGAAUACUGACGCUGAGACUCGAAAGCGUGGGGAGCAAACAGG